AAGUUCCUAAAUCAGUGCCGAGAUUUCGUCAUGUACCAGGACAUUAGGACUGAUGAAACUUCCAAGGUAAGUGAGUCG
Schistosoma rodhaini is the source of this 78-nucleotide non-coding RNA. NCBI's taxonomy places the organism in Eukaryota, Metazoa, Platyhelminthes, Trematoda, Strigeidida, Schistosomatidae. The record is from Rfam.